This 3908-nucleotide long non-coding RNA is filed under the name Bos grunniens (domestic yak). RNAcentral describes it as "lncRNA (ENSBGRG00000023241.1)". The record is from RNAcentral. Lineage: Eukaryota; Metazoa; Chordata; Mammalia; Artiodactyla; Bovidae.
AUGGAAGGGGGUCAUCAGGCAGCAAAAAGCAGACGGCGCCCACCUCGGCCUUUGGACCACCGAGAGGCAGAAGCAGCGGUGCUGACAGGCCACUCUAAAUGCAGCCUGGCGCCUGGAUGGAAUUCCUCAGCCUGGCCUCGGGGCAGUUUGCGGGGAGGGAGGGCGAGCUCUCUUGGAAGCCCAGCUGGAAAGAUUGAGGGCAAAAGGAGAAGAGGGUGGCAGAGGAUGAGAUGGUUGGAUGGCAUCAUCGACUCAAUGGACAUAAGUUUGAGCAAACUCCAGGAGAUAGUGAAGGACAGGGAAGCCUGGUGUGCUGCCAUCCAUGGGGUCGCAAAGAGUCAGACACCACUUAGCGAUUGACCAACAACUAGAGAAAGCCUGAUCCUCACGAGUCAGAAGGGACCACACCAGUCCUCUGGCCCCUCCUCCAGAGACUGAGGUUACUGUUGAGCAAAAGUGAAAUUUAUCUGAACCUAGUCUAUGGUCAGCUGUAACAUGGGCUUUACUUGGAAUGAACUCAGCCAUACGGAUGGAGCCCAGGGGAAAGGGUUUUUUAAAAAUUAUUAUUGUGAGUGAAACUCAUUUACAAUUAUAGUACAGAGAAUGGUCAUUUGCAUGCUUUAAACUCUCUAGCAGAUAAUGGUGACACGCUGUGCUAAGUGACUGAAAAGUUACAAGAUAAUUAAACACUGUCUGGCAGUUGCUUGGAUUUUUAAGUAUUUCUUAGAAUGGGCAAGCUACAUAAAACCUAACCAAGUUCCAGCUAAAAGUCUAACAGUUCUGAUGGAAACUGUUAAACCAGUUCUGCAAAAAGAGACAAACAGCUUCAAACUGCCAGGUAUCAGUAUUAUUGUAAUAUUCCCUUUAUCAAAAACCUAUAACUGAAAUUUAUAGGUAAGAAUUUACAGUAAGCAGCAGGUACUUGGAAACUUGUCAGUUAAGAUUUCCCAUUAGAGAAGAGAUUCUGCUGUAAGCUUUUUAACCCUCUAAUGUCAGAGAGAAAAAAAAACUUUCACAAUUAGUUUCUAAGGAAAUUAUAUAAAAGUCAUAAUAACUAAGAGGAAAAGCUUUAGAUUGUCAUUUCCAAUAGGACACAACCUCCUAAAGAAAACACACCCUGGUGGGUUGUUUUCAGAAGACUGUACAUAAACAAAAAUCAAAAUCUAUAUUCUUUAUAUAUUUCUAAAGAAAAUAGUUAACAAAAUCACCUUAAAGUGACUUCAUUUCCUGCUGCUCUCCCAACCUCCUCAAAACUGAGAAUAUAACAAAUAUUUGCAUAGGUUUAUUAUUCACAUUUAAUCAUGAAUAAUUCACUUUGUACAGACAGCUGGGUAAACAAGAGUUUUGGAGUUUCCUUUUUCUAGAAUAUUUUCCCCUUGGCUGAAAGGAAACAGCUUCAGUGUGGUUUGACAUGGUUUCCAGUGCCAUCCUGUCCCGUCCCCUGAGCAGGAGGGAUCCCCUGUUUCAGGCAUUUUCUCUUUUUUCCUUUCUUUCUCUCUUUCUGUCAGUUCUUAGGCUACAGUUCACAACCAUACACACACACACAUAUGUAUAUAUAAUUAUUAUUAUGAAAAAUGAGCUCCACCACUCAAGUCUGUGGUCGGCAAAACAAGUGAAUGGUCACAGAUGUGCUUUUGGGUGGAUCCUCUUCUGAGUGCUGGGAAAAGAUCUCCCCAGCUCAUUCUGCCUCGUCAUUAGCUCCUUCACCUUCUCCUAUCAGUUCAUGAACAAUUUCACAAUUAUUUGACUAUCUGCCACAAAGCCGGCUCCCAUUUCCCUCUGCUCCUCCCAGGCCUACGUGAGGAAGUGAAGCACGUACCACUGUGCACAGGUUUACCCAGGGCAUUUCAGUCUGGGCAAGGGGGCAUCGUUUACCAAAGGUCAAGGAUCCUUCCAGCUCUGUGGAUGUCACCAGCCAAACUGUGAUAGUAUAACUUGCGGUUUAGGAGACAAUUAGGCUUGCCGUCACUCGGCUAUGACCGAAUCGGGGGGUUGGGGGAGGUCAUAGUAUACCCUUGGGAAAUCCCUGCUCUUUGUCACGACCUGGCAAAGAGCUUUAAGAAUCUUAGCCACCCAGCAAAUCCCAUGUGUCCACCCUAACUGUGUUAGUUGAGGGCAGACACAGGCCUAGGGAUAUUUGUACCCUCUCUUCAGCAGUCGGUGUCAUGAAGCACGAAUGCCAUGGCCGAGAGCGUUCCAAAGAAAAUUAGCCACAAUUCGACCAAAUUAGAAAAACGGUACUGAUGAAAAUAAUGAUGAACCUAUUUGCAGGGCAGCAAUAGAGACGACGACAUAGAGAACAGACUUGGGGGAGGGGGAGGGGCAGAGACGGUGGGACGAAUGGGGAGGGUGUAGCCACAGUCCCGCGUGUGAAGUAGACGGCCGGCGGGAAGCUGCUGCCUGACGCAGGGAGCUCAGCCCGGCGCUCUGCGAUGACCUAGGAGGGUAGGGUCGGGGCGGGAGGGGCGCUCCAGAGGGAGGGGAUACGCGUAUACACUACGGCUGAUUCACACUGUUGUACAGCAGAAGCUAACGCAACAUUGUAAAGCAAUUAUACUCCAAUUAAAAUUUAAAAGAAAGUAAAAAUUUUCUUCAUUGAACAAAAGUGUUAGACAUGUUCUAAGCACUUUACACACAUAAACUCUUUACUUGCUAUAACCACCUUAUAUAAUAGGUAUAAUCCUUACCCCCAUUUUACAGAUGAGGAAAAGGAGGCACAGAGAAAUCAAAGAAUUCACUGAUUGUCAGGAAGUGGGAGGGCCAGGACUCAAACCAGGCAGUCUGGCUCCGAAGUCUGAGCUUCCACUCACCAUGCUCUGCUAUGGGCAUAAAUCCCUGCUUACGGUAAAGAGUUUAGAAAGAGAAGAAAACAUGAAGAAGAGAACAAUUACUCCUAGUCUCACCACCCAUUUCAGAGUAUUUCCUGUGUGUGUGUGUGUGUGUGUGUGUGUGUGUGUGUGAAAGCAUUGAACUUAGUGGAAUUUCUCAUCAACUCCCCUCUUUCAAUUUUCUGUAUCUUAUGAACAUUUUCUCCCAUGGAAAGAUAUUAAUUUGAGUGAACAUUCAAUUUCCUGAGUCUACUUUGUAAAUACCCACCCAGUCAACUUAGGAAGCACUUAUGAUUGGAGGUAGGUGGGGGGCGGGCGGCUACCCAGAUGGCACAGUGGUAAAGAACCCACCUGCCAAUCCAGGAGACACAAGAGAAGAGGGUUCGAUCCCUGGGUCAGGAAGAUCCCCUGGAGAAGGACAUGGCAACCCACUCCAGUAUUCUUGCCUGGAAAAUUCUAUGGACAGAGGAGCCUGGCAGCCUACAGUCCAGGGAGUCGCAAAGAGUUGGACACGACUGAGCCAUGGAGCGCACACACACAUAUAUGACUAGGGGAGGGGGAGGUCGGGGGCAUCUGGUUUAGAAGAGGCCUUAUUUCCCCAAAUACAAACAACUUCUCUGAAAAUGGACUCAGCAUGGUUUCUUUUAAGUGACCUGGAAAAAAAAAAAAAACGUGUUGUGUCUGGAAACAUAGCGUGACUUUCCCCUUCAAAGCGUUUUGUGUUGUGUCCACUUCAUAUUGUUCAGUUUCCUCUGGGCGGGGCAGGGGGAGUGAGUCUGGGUUCACAGAGAUAUGCAGGCUAGUCAACAGGAAACCCGAAGUCCCUGAUACAGCACGGUGGCCUCUAAUCACAGCCCGGCCUGGCCACUUUCUCUGACAGGUGUUGCAAAAAUAAUAAUAAAUGCUCGAAAGAACCAUUUGCCCAGUAAACAGAGCUGUUAUUAAAAACUGGCAUCAUAUACCAAGACACUGAAGAGCUGUCUCGGAAGCCAAGACGGUAGUGGCCACUGCUAUGACACGGUGACAGCGUUUGGCCGAGUCACAUGCCAUCCCGUCAACAGCCAGAGAAGUAAACAGCAC